UAUAUGACGUCCAAUAAACACUUUAUACUCUUAGUUCUCCUAUUACUGCAGAAAGUCGCGAACCUGUAUGUCGGAAUUUUGAUCCCUAAAAAACGUCUUCAGUCUGCGAAGAAAAAAGGGCAUGGUGCUAUUGCAUUAUUCCUAAUAUAAAACGCGGACUAGGUCGCUUUAAGGAUAUAUAUUGCAAGGAUAACUCGAUGUGCUGUGCAACCAGAUUUAUUUAUUUUAACUCAUUAUUGCACAGUCUUGCGCAUAGCGAAACAUCACAACUGCUUUCCAUAUUAUACAGAAUGGUUAUAUUCAAACUCGCUUGUGUUCUUGCGUUACUCCUACUGUUUUUCCUAGAGGUAUCUGAAAGUAAAAAGAGAUAUAUUGCUUGCAGGCGUAUGAAGUCGGGACAGUUUGGAAAGUGCAUAAUGAAGGGAUCGCCAUGCCAAGGAAAGAUCUAUCCCGCUCGGGUUUGCAAUUUGGUUUCCCAUUGCUGUUGGCCUGCUCCUGAAAGCAAUUUUAUGUUUGUUACAGAUAUUGAACUCUGAGAACACGUCCGAUAUUAUCUUCUUCAGUAAAGUUGCCGUGGUCUUUCCGUUGCGCCUG
This is a long non-coding RNA of Drosophila ficusphila, 594 nucleotides long. RefSeq lists it as uncharacterized. Lineage: Eukaryota; Metazoa; Arthropoda; Insecta; Diptera; Drosophilidae. The record is from RefSeq and is a predicted model, not a curated record. The transcript is spliced from 3 exons.